CGGGUUCUGCCCUGUUCGUGAGACGUUACAUUCCAGUGGCCUUAAGCAAAUCCGAGGGAGCUGGCUCUGAUCGAGCCCUGGUUCGAUUACCUGGCGCCCACCUGUACAUACAGGUCCUCGGGAAUAAUAAAACUGACCGGCAGCGGUGGUCCCGUC
Molecule: non-coding RNA, 156 nt
Filed under: Sulfitobacter brevis
Lineage: Bacteria; Pseudomonadati; Pseudomonadota; Alphaproteobacteria; Rhodobacterales; Roseobacteraceae
Description: 6S / SsrS RNA
Rfam family: 6S / SsrS RNA
About the family: E. coli 6S RNA was the first non coding RNA to be sequenced, but its function was unknown until recently. It consists of 184 nucleotides that fold into an extended hairpin structure with a large single-stranded internal bulge.
Source: Rfam by way of RNAcentral